AAUGCAAUCACUGAGUAACUGUAAUCCAUUACUUUACUUUUUCAAGCGAAAAGUAAUUACUGCGUUAGGGGCCGUUCACACAGAACGCGUUUUUCUAUUCCAAUGCACUACUUUUCCAUUGUUUUUCCUAUGUAAACGCGCUAGACGGACGUGUAUGACCGUUACACUCACGUCUCGUGUCUUUUGCAGCGCCUUGCACAUGAGCGCCACAUUUUUAAGACGUCAUCUCAAAGAAUUUCAACUUUUACACGCAGCACUGCUCAUCAAUGUCAGUUUCUAAACAGCGGACCAAUCAGAAGAACUCGGAGGCGGGGCAAGCGUUGCGAGCUUCUGUUUACAAUAGCAAGUUGGCAUGGGAACUGUUUUAUUUGCGAUUAUUUUCUUCUUUUUUUUCCCCAAAUCAAAAAUAGUAUCCAUCUAUCUAUUCUGCUAUUUGCCUAUUUCUAUUAUUUUUUCGUUAUUUCGUUAUUGCAUCACGUCUCAAAAGCGAGUCUCGAGACCCUCACUUUCUGCAAUGCACUUUUUUAAAAACAAUUCCAGAGCGCUUUCGCGUUUUUGACGCAAAGACGCGUUCUGUGUGAACAAGCCCUUAGGCUACUGUUUAACCAUCCUUUUAGAGAAGUGCAGAUGAUGUACAACAUUGUAGGCCAAAGCAAAUUCAGAAAACUACUGACAUAUUUUGCGCGCAAGUUUGAAAACCCCUGUUUAGGAAAUGUAGAUCUAGAACAAUGUUUUAAUGAACUCAAACUCUUUGACAGAUGGUUGAUGAGUUUUAGAUCACUGUUCAUGAUAUUAAUUCACCAUAUAUGGCUCCUUAUCUUAAAGAAUAAGCUUGACAGGAAAUGUUCGAUGAAUGGGUUUGAUAAAUGCAUUUCUCUCUGAUUUCUGUCACUUUAUUUUCUGCCAUCUUUAAGCUUCUUUUGGUUUACUGCCCGGCUAGCAGACGCUUGAUUUCCCACUGUAUAUGGGAUGCAUUAUCUCUCCAAAGUGUGUUCUGGAGUCACAUGAUAACUGCAUCUUCUGGAAUGUGCUCGUGUGCAUCUGUAUUUCUGUACAUUACUUUUGGCUUUUUUUGUUUUUGUUUCGUAUGUGUGUCGGGCUGCAGUGGUCCCUGAGCUCACGGGCCAGAAGACGACACCAAACUCCCCGAAGGUCGGUCAAACAAGAGCAGCCCCGAAGGUCCCCUUCUCUCCACGUGACCCUUAGCACCUUCUUCUUCCCUACUUUCUUCUCAGUUUUUCCCCUCAUUGAGUAAAUCAACCCCACGAACACGAGCAAAAGAACAAGACGAAGAUGUUUCCUGCUUCAUCGUCUGGUUGAACGUUUGAGAAAUGAGUUCAGUCUUCUUGGAGAAACUCCUCACAUUGUGACCCAUGUGAAGAAGGCGGCCUUUCCUGGAACAAAUCAUUCAGAUGACUUCUCAUGUAUUAUUCAAAAGCCAUUUAUUCCCACACUGCAAAAAAAAAUCAAUGUCCCAAUCAGUAUUUUUGUCUCAUUUUCAAGUAAAAAGAUGUUUAUGGACUGGAAAACCAGACAAAAGCACUAAUUAAUGGAGUUUUUCGCAGUGCAAACGUUGUUGUGACAAUGUUAAGCUUUCAGGUACGAGGACGUGUGUUCACCCUUCAUCAUCGUGCACAGAAAUCAUUCAUUCGCUUAGUGAAAUCUGAACCUUUAGUGGGGCUGGAUUCAAUUUGAGAGUGCAAUAUAAUCGGCAGGCAGCCGUAUCUACAUGCAUGUCAUUAAAAACAUAUUAGUGCAGUUUCAGGGUGGACAGACGUUCGCUGAGACGCUUGUGUUUACAAAACCUGUUUAAUUCAUUUCAUAAAGAAGUAGAGACUGUAAUGCUACUAAUUCAGGUUGGCUGUGUCUCUUUAAAUGUCGGGAAGGUUUUCCACACACAGACUGUUUGGAAUUGAAUACUUGCUUACUGUACAUACAGUAUAUACUGUAUAAUGCUUACUAUUUUUAACAAACAGCAUGUGAAAGUGCACUAUUCAAUGCUAAACAGUAGUUUAUCAACUGACUGCAUGUUUAAUUCAGCAAGUUGUGUCCAGAAAUCAAGUUAUUUUUGCAUUUUUCAUGGCUGACCAGACAAGUCAAGAAAUUUGCAUUUGGAGCAUUUGCAUACUGUGCAUACAUACUAUAUACUGCAGAAAUAGUAUGAUGUUCUGAACAUAGCCACAUAUGAUUAAAGGUGCUGUGAGCAAUUUUUUAUUUCAGUCACAUGACAUCCUUCUCAAAGACAUAUCAACCAACCCACAAAUUGAACGACAGAGAUUCUCAUUGGCUAAAAAAAUCGACUGUCCCGAUUUAUGAACUGUGCAUUGAAAUUAUGCACAUUUAUCCUCACGUCUGAUUUUCUUGGUUCAUUACGAAAGCAAAAAUGAAAAGACAAAUGCUGGUCUAUGCAUAGAAAUCAUCACAGUUUGUUCAGAUGUUGUUUGUUUGGUUGAAAAUGAGAAAAUAUGAGUGCAACCCUACACACUGUAAUUCGUAAUUCUGUGAUUUGUUGUAAUAAUAAUAUUAAUAAAUAAUAAUAAAGCCCUGUUGCUAAUAGUUCACGCUCUGUGGCGUGACCAGACCGUCUGCGGUUUCAACAGUGCCGUAUCAGUUGUAUCUUUCUGUCUUCAUCAUUCACACCAAACCUUCCCCGAAUCCACUCCGAGUCUUAGUAAAUCCCACUAACGAGAAAAGAAUUACUGUUAUUUAAGAGUUCAAAUGUUUGUCAUGGGCAUACUGUAUCUUAAGUGCGUUGCGUAUAUUUGUGGUGCAUUUAUGCAAAUUGUGCUUCCACUGUUUAGACACUAGUGUAGUCCACAUGUACGAUUAUUGAAUAUUAAAUUAUUAUGGAUAAGUGAUUUCUUUAAAUUAAGCUUAUGAUCAUGUGCAAAGCGAGAAAUGGAGUGUCUAGAGGAAUUAACCGGGCCUCUUUCUGCAUUUGGACAGAAAGGUGAAUCAAUAUUGAGUGUGUAACGUGUGAAUGAAUGGAUGAAUGAGUGUGUGUAACGUGUCCUCUGCUUGUCAAGCGGAGCUUUGUCGUCAUUAAAGUUCAGUGUACCAAAA
Long non-coding RNA from Megalobrama amblycephala (Wuchang bream), 3063 nucleotides. RefSeq lists it as uncharacterized. NCBI's taxonomy places the organism in Eukaryota, Metazoa, Chordata, Actinopteri, Cypriniformes, Xenocyprididae. The transcript has 2 exons. The record is from RefSeq and is a predicted model, not a curated record.